Molecule: long non-coding RNA, 206 nt
Filed under: Gallus gallus (chicken)
Lineage: Eukaryota; Metazoa; Chordata; Aves; Galliformes; Phasianidae
Source: RNAcentral
CUUCUUCUAAGUGCUGAGGCUGACCUGCCUGCUCCAUUUCCUCUUCUUCAAGUUCUUUUUUGCGUUCCUCUUCUGCCUGAUCAACAUGUUGCUCGUCAUCCUCUCCAGCUUCUUGCUGCUCCUGAAUAUUUACUUCUUUGGCAUGCUGGCCCUCGUUAGCCCUGCCUGCUCCAUUUCCUCUUCUUCAAGUUCUUUUUUGCGUUCCU